RNAcentral lists this long non-coding RNA (1353 nucleotides) under Heterocephalus glaber (naked mole-rat). RNAcentral describes it as "lncRNA (ENSHGLG00000050723.1)". The record is from RNAcentral. Lineage: Eukaryota; Metazoa; Chordata; Mammalia; Rodentia; Bathyergidae.
CCCUCCUUUCUGAGCAGUAUUUUCCUGCUCCCUUCUGCGGUCGGCUCCUCUUCGCUGCCCAUGUUAAUGUUUGUGUGAACGUGCAGGGAGCUCUCUGCUGCCCUGCAGGCUGGGGUUUGCCCUGCUGCCCGCUCUUACAGUUACACGCGCACACUGCGCGCAUACACACACACACGGGUGCUGUGGCGGGCGUUGCUGCACAGGGCGGCCGUGCUGCAGGUCGCGCUCCUCCGGGCUGCGCACCUCCGGGCUCCGUCCACCCAUAGCGCGUCUGACAGCUCCUCUGAGCCUUCGCAGCCCGCUUUCUGACCGCUUUUCCACUCGGUGGCGUGGGAACGGGAUCCCGUUUUCAUUGCGUCACGCUGAUCCCUGACGAACGCUUUCCACAACCUCAGCCUCCGCCUUAGCUCUAAACUGCAGGCCAGGCUUCUGCGCCUCUCCUCCUCCUGGGCCAUCCCUUUCCUGUCUCACAGGGGCGGGCGGGGCUGUUUGUUCCUUUGGUUGGCUGGGAUAUUUUUGGUAUAGGGAACUGCUGGCAGGCCUUCACGCUGUGUGACACAAUCAGCCCUUUUUUUGUUUAUUUUGAGACAGGUUCUCCCCCAGACGCUAAAUUGCCCAGGCUGGGCUUGAACUUACAAUCCCCCCUGCCUCAGCCUCCCAGAGGGCUGGGGUCACAGGCGUGCAUCCCCACACCCGGCCACCUGUCCGCAGCUCACCUCGAGUCUCUGUCCCCAGGCUGGAGGCUGCGGGCUCAUGAAGCUGGCCUGCCCGGGCGUGGCCGUCUCCCUGGGGAGCAGCCGGACGCUGACGCACCUGAGCCUGGCGGGCAAUGCCCUGAAGGAUGAAGGGGCGAGGCACAUCUGGGAGAGCCUGGCAAGCGCGGCGCUGCCCCUCCAGAGGCUGGUGUGAGUCCCCAGGUGCCUCCCCUUGAGGCUCGGCGUGCGGGGAGCAGUGCCGAGCACACCUGCUUCGUGUUCUAGUCUGUGGCACACGUGUGACCCACAGAGGCCUAUUGGAGCCAUGCUUGUGCCAGGGGACAGCAGUCAGGAAAAGGGUGUUAUUUCCACUGAAGAGGCAGGUUAGCGGGGCCCAGGCACCCAGGGCCCUGCAGAUGCGCAGGACGGCGACAUCUGCUCAUCACAAGAGCCGGGCGGGGGCUCAGGGUCAGUGUCCAGGUCACGCUGCCUUCCUCCUGGGGAGGUCUCACUUGGCUGUCACGGGAGGAAGUUCAGCACAGAAUUAAAUACGGAGCCAGGCAUGGUGGUGCACGCCUGUGACCCCAGCACUCUGGGAGGCUGCAGGCGCCUGAGCGGGAAGGGGCAGGGAGACCUUGGAGCCUCCUGCCAGACGGAC